This 348-nucleotide ribosomal RNA is filed under the name uncultured bacterium. RNAcentral's name for it is "bacterial SSU rRNA". It matches the Rfam family "Bacterial small subunit ribosomal RNA", at positions 8 to 350 of the family's 1533-position model. The record is from RNAcentral.
AGAGUUUGAUCCUGGCUCAGGAUGAACGCUAGCUACAGGCUUAACACAUGCAAGUCGAGGGGAAACGACAUCGAAAGCUUGCUUUUGAUGGGCGUCGACCGGCGCACGGGUGAGUAACGCGUAUCCAACCUGCCCAUCACUUGGGGAUAACCUUGCGAAAGUAAGACUAAUACCCAAUGACGUCUCUAGAAGACAUCUGAAAGAGAUUAAAGAUUUAUCGGUGAUGGAUGGGGAUGCAUCUGAUUAGCUUGUUGGCGGGUAACGCCACAAGGCGACGAUCAGUAGGGUUCUGAGAGGAAGGUCCCCCANAUUGGAACUGAGACACGGUCCAAACUCCUACGGGAGGCA